RNAcentral lists this ribosomal RNA (301 nucleotides) under uncultured bacterium. RNAcentral's name for it is "partial 16S ribosomal RNA". It matches the Rfam family "Bacterial small subunit ribosomal RNA", at positions 509 to 809 of the family's 1533-position model. The record is from RNAcentral.
CAGCCGCCGCGGGAAUUCGUAGGUGGCAAGCGUUGUCCGGAAUUAUUGGGCGUAAAGGGCUCGCAGGCGGUUUCUUAAGUCUGAUGUGAAAGCCCCCGGCUCAACCGGGGAGGGUCAUUGGAAACUGGGAAACUUGAGUGCAGAAGAGGAGAGUGGAAUUCCACGUGUAGCGGUGAAAUGCGUAGAGAUGUGGAGGAACACCAGUGGCGAAGGCGACUCUCUGGUCUGUAACUGACGCUGAGGAGCGAAAGCGUGGGGAGCGAACAGGAUUAGAUACCCCGGUAGUCCCUGUCUCUUAUAA